AGUAGCUCUUGUUCAAUCUGUAAAAAACAUACUUGUGUCAGAAUAUCAGGAAUUCAGUAUUCGAAACAAGCAUCCAAAGAAAAAUAUACCCACAUAAUUGACAAUGAAGAAUCCACUGUAUUUCCUUUUAUGGCUAAUUGUCUUGCUCUGGCUGUCGUUCUUUGUGGCCUUUUUCGGGGCCUUCUUCUAUAUCUGGACUUAUAUGUUCUCUCAAUGCACUGACUGCUGCGAAGGUAUUGCUACAUUUUUCCUGAAGUGCGUUCAGUUUCCCGGAUACUGUGCUGCAGGUAUGAUGCAGUGCAAGAAACCGUGCUAGAAUCGACGAAGAUGGCAAGGGGCGGCCACCCGCCACCCUUGAUGCGGCACAGUGUCGACACUCACCGUUUACCACUGUAACAUAAUUAUGCAGUUUUCUUACUUCACUGUCGAUAAUGCCAGAAGGUCUUCCUCUGCGUCUGAACUUCCUUCAACUGCAAAACUACCUGCAAUAUACUUGUGUUUUAACACAGUUUGCUUGCUUUACUGUCGAUACAGCCAGAAGAUCUUCCUCUUCGUCUAACCUUCCUUCAUUUAAGAAACCAUCUCCGACAUCGUAAGCAGAUUACUUCAGAAUAAUAGUGACUAGAAGAUCAGUGGAUGAUGACAUUGAGAAAAUCUAUUUUAUUCAACAGUUUUAUGGUAGAAUUGCUUAAAUUUUUCAACACUUAUCGGCAAUUAGCAUGAAUGACUUAUUAACACAAUCCUCAAGUUUUUAAGACUGCUUUGUAUCCGGCGAUCAAAAUAAAUUUAAACAUGCGAAUCCAGCAGUGUGGAAGGCUUAAUU
Molecule: long non-coding RNA, 823 nt
Organism: Drosophila miranda
Lineage: Eukaryota; Metazoa; Arthropoda; Insecta; Diptera; Drosophilidae
Exons: 4
Source: RefSeq, a predicted model, not a curated record